RNAcentral lists this ribosomal RNA (253 nucleotides) under uncultured bacterium. RNAcentral describes it as "partial 16S ribosomal RNA". It matches the Rfam family "Bacterial small subunit ribosomal RNA", at positions 524 to 776 of the family's 1533-position model. The record is from RNAcentral.
UACGUAGGGUGCAAGCGUUGUCCGGAAUUAUUGGGCGUAAAGAGCUCGUAGGCGGUCUGUCGCGUCUGCUGUGAAAACUCGGGGCUUAACCCCGGGCCUGCAGUGGGUACGGGCAGACUAGAGUGCGGUAGGGGAGACUGGAAUUCCUGGUGUAGCGGUGGAAUGCGCAGAUAUCAGGAGGAACACCGAUGGCGAAGGCAGUUCUCUGGGCCGUAACUGACGCUGAGGAGCGAAAGCGUGGGGAGCGAACAGG